This 565-nucleotide ribosomal RNA is filed under the name soil bacterium b17. Its description in RNAcentral is "bacterial SSU rRNA". It matches the Rfam family "Bacterial small subunit ribosomal RNA", at positions 324 to 871 of the family's 1533-position model. The record is from RNAcentral.
ACACGGUCCAGACUCCUACGGGAGGCAGCAGUGGGGAUAUUGGACUAUGGGCGAAAGCCUGAUCCAGCCAUGCCGCGUGUGUGCAGAAGGUCUUCGGAUUGUAAAGCACUUUAAGUUGGGAGGAAGGGCAGUCACUUGAUACGUUGCUGUUUUGACGUUACCGACAGCAUAAGCACCGGCUUACUCUGUGCCAGCAGCCGCGGUCAUACAGAGGUGUGCAAGCGUUAAUCGGUAUUACUGGGCGUAAAGCGCGCGUAGGUGGUUUGUUAAGUUGGAUGUGAAAUCCCCGGGCUCGAACCUGGGAACUGCAUUCAAUAACUGACAAGCUAGAGUAUGGUAGAGGUGUGGUGGCAUUUCCUGUGUAGCGGUGUUAUGCGUAGAUAUAGUGAAGGUGACAACCAGUGGCGAAGGCGACCACCUGGACUGAUACUGACAGCUGAGGUGCGUAAGCGUGGGGAGCUAAACAGGAUUAGAUACCCUGGUAGUUCCACGCCGUUAACGAUGUCAACUAGCCGUUGGGAGCCUUGAGCUCUUAGUGGUCGCAGCUUACGCAUUAAGUUGACCG